RNAcentral lists this ribosomal RNA (425 nucleotides) under uncultured bacterium. RNAcentral describes it as "partial 16S ribosomal RNA". It matches the Rfam family "Bacterial small subunit ribosomal RNA", at positions 354 to 796 of the family's 1533-position model. The record is from RNAcentral.
GUGGGGAAUCUUAGACAAUGGGGGAAACCCUGAUCUAGCCAUGCCGCGUGAUCGAUGAAGGCCUUAGGGUUGUAAAGAUCUUUCAGGUGGGAAGAUAAUGACUGUACCACCAGAAGAAGCCCCGGCUAACUCCGUGCCAGCAGCCGCGGUAAUACGGAGGGGGCUAGCGUUGUUCGGAAUUACUGGGCGUAAAGCGCACGUAGGCGGAUUGGAAAGUUGGGGGUGAAAUCCCGGGGCUCAACCCCGGAACUGCCUUCAAAACUCCCAGUCUUGAGUUCGAGAGAGGUGAGUGGAAUUCCGAGUGUAGAGGUGAAAGUCGUAGAUAUUCGGAGGAACACCAGUGGCGAAGGCGGCUCACUGGCUCGAUACUGACGCUGAGGUGCGAAAGCGUGGGGAGCAAACAGGAUUAGAAACCCGAGUAGUCC